AUGCGACUAAUCCUGGACUGGCACCAUCGCCUGCAUCAUCAGCAACAGUGGAUGGCAGGUAUGGACAGCAUCCAGGUUCUUCAACUACACAAGAAGAAAAUGGCAAUGCAAUUUCAUCUCCUAUUGUGCAAGCUCCUGGUGGACAUGCGCACCAGCCACUCAGUAUGGCAUCUCUACAUGCAGCUGUUGCGGCCGCACAAGGUACUACGAUGGUUGAACCACAGUUUGGAAGACCUGCUACCACACUUGGCCCUCCAAUUCCUAGAGACCCUCCAAAUCAACAACAAAAGGGAGGGCAAAGUCAAAAAGAAUUCAAUCAGCACUUGA
This 327-nucleotide ribosomal RNA is filed under the name Triticum aestivum (bread wheat). RNAcentral's name for it is "partial small subunit ribosomal RNA". The record is from RNAcentral. Lineage: Eukaryota; Viridiplantae; Streptophyta; Magnoliopsida; Poales; Poaceae.